UGGGGAAUAUUGGACAAUGGGCGAAAGCCUGAUCCAGCCAUGCCGCGUGUGUGAAGAAGGUCUUCGGAUUGUAAAGCACUUUAAGUUGGGAGGAAGGGCAGUUACCUAAUACGUGAUUGUUUUGACGUUACCGACAGAAUAAGCACCGGCUAACUCUGUGCCAGCAGCCGCGGUAAUACAGAGGGUGCAAGCGUUAAUCGGAAUUACUGGGCGUAAAGCGCGCGUAGGUGGUUAGUUAAGUUGGAUGUGAAAUCCCCGGGCUCAACCUGGGAAUGGCAUUUGUGACUGUAGAGCUAGAGUACGGUAGAGGGGGAUGGAAUUCCGCGUGUAGCAGUGAAAUGCGUAGAUAUAGGAAGGAACACCAGUGGCGAAGGCGACCACCUGGACUGAUACUGACACUGAGGUGCGAAAGCGUGGGGAGCAAACAGGAUUAGAUACCCCUGUAGUCCCUGAGCGGGCUGGCAAGGCGCAU
RNAcentral lists this ribosomal RNA (472 nucleotides) under uncultured bacterium. Its description in RNAcentral is "bacterial SSU rRNA". It matches the Rfam family "Bacterial small subunit ribosomal RNA", at positions 355 to 825 of the family's 1533-position model. The record is from RNAcentral.